RNAcentral lists this ribosomal RNA (468 nucleotides) under uncultured bacterium. Its description in RNAcentral is "partial 16S ribosomal RNA". It matches the Rfam family "Bacterial small subunit ribosomal RNA", at positions 28 to 507 of the family's 1533-position model. The record is from RNAcentral.
GACGAACGCUGGCGGCGUGCUUAACACAUGCAAGUCGAACGGAAAGGCCCUGCUUUUGUGGGGUGCUCGAGUGGCGAAAGGGUGAGUAACACGUGAGUAACCUGCCCUUGACUGUGGGAUAACUUCAGGAAACUGGGGCUAAUACCGGAUAGGAGCUCCUGCUGCAUGGUGGGGGUUGGAAAGUUUCGGCGGUUGGGGAUGGGCUCGCGGCUUAUCAGCUUGUUGGUGGGGUAGUGGCUUACCAAGGCUUUGACGGGUAGCCGGCCUGAGAGGGUGAACGGCCACAUUCGGACUGAGAUACGGCCCAGACUCCUACCGGAGGCAGCAGUGGGGAAUAUUGCACAAUGGGCGUAAGCCUGAUGCAGCAACGCCGCGUGCGGGAUGACGGCCUUCGGGUUGUACCCCGCUUUCGCCUGUGACGAAGCGUGAGUGACGCUACUGGGUAAAGAAGCACCGGCUACCUACGUG